This 578-nucleotide ribosomal RNA is filed under the name Lactiplantibacillus plantarum. RNAcentral's name for it is "bacterial SSU rRNA". Lineage: Bacteria; Bacillati; Bacillota; Bacilli; Lactobacillales; Lactobacillaceae. The record is from RNAcentral.
GAACUCUGGUAUUGAUUGGUGCUUGCAUCAUGAUUUACAUUUGAGUGAGUGGCGAACUGGUGAGUAACACGUGGGAAACCUGCCCAGAAGCGGGGGAUAACACCUGGAAACAGAUGCUAAUACCGCAUAACAACUUGGACCGCAUGGUCCRAGUUUGAAAGAUGGCUUCGGCUAUCACUUUUGGAUGGUCCCGCGGCGUAUUAGCUAGAUGGUGRGGUAACGGCUCACCAUGGCAAUGAUACGUAGCCGACCUGAGAGGGUAAUCGGCCACAUUGGGACUGAGACACGGCCCAAACUCCUACGGGAGGCAGCAGUAGGGAAUCUUCCACAAUGGACRAAAGUCUGAUGGAGCAACGCCGCGUGAGUGAAGAAGGGUUUCGGCUCGUAAAACUCUGUUGUUAAAGAAGAACAUAUCUGAGAGUAACUGUUCAGGUAUUGACGGUAUUUAACCAGAAAGCCACGGCUAACUACGUGCCAGCAGCCGCGGUAAUACGUAGGUGGCAAGCGUUGUCCGGAUUUAUUGGGCGUAAAGCGAGCGCAGGCGGUUUUUUAAGUCUGAUGUGAAAGCCUUCGGCUCA